This is a long non-coding RNA of Carassius carassius (crucian carp), 994 nucleotides long. RefSeq lists it as uncharacterized. NCBI's taxonomy places the organism in Eukaryota, Metazoa, Chordata, Actinopteri, Cypriniformes, Cyprinidae. The transcript is spliced from 5 exons. The record is from RefSeq and is a predicted model, not a curated record.
CUCAUCCAUUACUCUGACUCCAGUUCUCGCUGAGCUGCUCCGAUCAUUCCAAAACAUUACAUCAUUGCACAGAGAGGGAACAUCGCUACUAUGGCCAGAGCGCCUGCCAAGGCGUCUGCACAGGACUGUACACUGGCUCCUUUGUGAUGUCCACAAUGUGUGUCCAAGGCAACCACUAGUUGUCACACUGACUGUUUGAAGAUGCUGCUGCCGAUGUGUUGUGCGUAUCAUAUUCUCUGCUGAAUGUGGACCAGUGAUGUCUCAUGAAAGCAGUGUCAGGUUUGGGCUCUUGUUUUCGUCCCAGGAUCUUCCCUACAGGCCGUAGAGCAUCCAGAAGCCAUGUUUGAGAUUUCACAUUUUGGGAGUCACUUUUCCUCCCUCCUCAUCAUGCCACAGAGCUGGUAUUCUGGGCUUUAGUGUGCCCUAUUGGCCUAGCCACAGCCCGGCAGCCUUUCAUUACACCAGCCGAAGGAGGUGCCCUGGACAUCCCCAUCGAAGACACCAUCACCACCACACCCCAAAGCGUGCCCAGCUCCGAGCUGUUCCCUGGAUACAUCAACAAGAGAGAUGAGAAAACAGCUGCUCUGUUUGUACAUCCUUUACCUGGCAAUCAGCAAGCCUGACCUGUUGGGCUAGUGAUGAUUGUUCCUUCCUUCAGGGUGUUUUCCCGCCAGUUUUACAUAGAACAAGUGGUUUGGAAACUGGAUGGAUGGAUGUCAUGGCUGGAAGUACACCGCCCCCUGUUGAUUCCUUCCAAAAUGGAGCUGCAAGAACUCCACAAACCUGAUGAUCAUAACGAGCAUGAUUUGAGAAUAAUCCAGUGAGCAACUUGUGAUUCUGACCGUCUGUACAAAUGAGUUCAUAUGGUGAAUGUCACAUAACGGUUUUUGACAGUUACUUAGAAAUAGAUGUGCAGAAUCUGAAAUAUUUAUUAAAGAAAUAGAAAUACAAUAAUAUUAAAUAUUAAUGAUAUUCUUUGUUCAAUCGUUUUGUU